RNAcentral lists this ribosomal RNA (424 nucleotides) under uncultured bacterium. RNAcentral's name for it is "SSU rRNA". It matches the Rfam family "Bacterial small subunit ribosomal RNA", at positions 368 to 808 of the family's 1533-position model. The record is from RNAcentral.
GCAUGGGGGAACCCUGACGCAGCAACGCCGCGUGAAGGAUGAAGGUCUUCCGAUUGUAAACUUCUUUUAUUAAGGACGAAGAAAGUGACGGUACUUAAUGAAUAAGCUCCGGCUAACUACGUGCCAGCAGCCGCGGUAAUACGUAGGGAGCAAGCGUUGUCCGGAUUUACUGGGUGUAAAGGGUGCGUAGGCGGCUUUGCAAGUCAGAUGUGAAAUCUAUGGGCUCAACCCAUAGCCUGCAUUUGAAACUGCAGAGCUUGAGUGAAGUAGAGGCAGGCGGAAUUCGUGGUGUAGCGGUGAAAUGCUUAGAUAUCACGAAGAACUCCGAUUGCGAAGGCAGCCUGCUGGACUGUAACUGACGCUGAUGCUCGAAAGUGUGGGUAUCAAACAGGAUUAGAUACCCUGGUAGUCCAAGGGCGAAUUC